AUUUGCAGCCCUUGAGGACCAAAGACGCUGCAAUAACCUCAAGAUUCGAGGUGUCCCAGAUAACAUCCCGACGGAGGAACUCCCACACCUGAUGAGGAGGCUCGCGGGAGCACUACUGAAGCUACAACAACGAAAGCAUUGAGCUAUGAGGCGAUCUUCAGACUCCCUAAACCGAGGAAGGCCCCAGACGCGGCCUCCAGGGAUCUGGUGGUGAGGUUCCGAUCCAGAACAGACAAAGCGGCUAUACUCACGGCCCUACAGGGGAAAAUGCCAACCUUACCUUUUUUUCCAACUUGUCUGGAGACACCAUGCAAUGGCGCAGAUCCCUACAGCCGUUCAUAACACUCCUGAGGCAAAACGACAUCACCUACAGAUGGCGCACACCAAGGGCCCUACAGGUCCUGAAAAACAACCUGAUUCACACAGUCAAAGACCUACCGGAGGCUGGGC
This is a non-coding RNA of Pelobates cultripes (western spadefoot toad), 450 nucleotides long. The record is from the annotation of a GenBank genome assembly. NCBI's taxonomy places the organism in Eukaryota, Metazoa, Chordata, Amphibia, Anura, Pelobatidae.